UACGGAGGAUGCGAGCGUUAUCCGGAUUUACUGGGUGUAAAGGGAGCGUAGACGGUUAUGUAAGUCUGGAGUGAAAGCCCGGGGCCCAACCCCGGGACUGCUUUGGAAACUGUGUAACUGGAGUACAGGAGGGGCAGGCGGAAUGCGCGGUGUAGCGGUGAAAUGCAUAGAUAUCGCGCAGAACUCCGAUUGCGAAGGCAGCGUACCGGCGCCGGACUGACGCUGAGGCACGAAAGCGUGGGUAUCGAACAGG
This 253-nucleotide ribosomal RNA is filed under the name uncultured bacterium. Its description in RNAcentral is "partial 16S ribosomal RNA". It matches the Rfam family "Bacterial small subunit ribosomal RNA", at positions 524 to 776 of the family's 1533-position model. The record is from RNAcentral.